GGGAUUAGAUACCCCACUAUGCUUAGCCUUAAACCUAGAUGUUUAAUUUACAAGCAACAUCCGCCAGGGUACUACAAGCGCUAGCUUAAAACCCAAAGGACUUGACGGUGUCUCAGACCCACCUAGAGGAGCCUGUUCUAGAACCGAUAAUCCCCGUUAAACCUCACCACCCCUUGUUUUCUCCGCCUAUAUACCGCCGUCGCAAGCUUACCCUGUGAAGGUCCCAUAGUAAGCAAAAUGGGUAAAUCCCAAAACGUCAGGUCGAGGUGUAGCUUACGAGGUGGGAAGAAAUGGGCUACAUUUUCUAUAUCAGAAUAAUACGAACAGCACUAUGAAAUUAGUGCUCGAAGGUGGAUUUAGUAGUAAAAAACAAAUAGAGAGUCUUUUUGAACCAGGCUCUGAGACGCGCACACACCGCCCC
Molecule: ribosomal RNA, 421 nt
Filed under: Bryconamericus loisae
Lineage: Eukaryota; Metazoa; Chordata; Actinopteri; Characiformes; Stevardiidae
Description: partial 12S ribosomal RNA
Rfam family: Bacterial small subunit ribosomal RNA
Source: RNAcentral